Molecule: long non-coding RNA, 2812 nt
Organism: Ictalurus punctatus (channel catfish)
Lineage: Eukaryota; Metazoa; Chordata; Actinopteri; Siluriformes; Ictaluridae
Product: T cell receptor alpha variable 4
Exons: 6
Source: RefSeq, a predicted model, not a curated record
UCAGGGAGGUGACCAAUUACCCAAUGGCCACUUUAACAGAGUUUCAGAAGUCUUCCUUGGAGAUGGGAGAACCUGAUGGAAAGGAAAACCAUCUUAGAAAGGCAUGCGUGAAGAUAUUCUCAGGGCUGAUGUGGAAAAACUCUUUGGGCCAAACUCCAAGUACUACCAGGUGCUACUCAUCAACAUGACUGCAUGCAAAAGGGGUGUGUCUAAGUAGCAGGGACAGGAAGUCUGUUCAGAGCUGAGGUAAAGAUAAAUGCAGGCAAAUGCAGAGUGGUCCAUGAAGAAAACCUGCCUCAGGGUGAACACAACCUCAGACCAGGGUGAAGGUUCAUUUUUCAGCAAGUCUCUGAAUGUCCUUGAGCCAAAACCCAGCUUUGAACCCUGCAGAACAUGUGUAGAGAGAGCUGAGGAUGUCUGUUAACAGUUAUUUGAUUGAGCUUAAGAGGAUCUGCCAGGAGGAAUGGGAAAAAUCACCCAGGUCCAUGUGUGUCCAACUUUUUUUUUCUUUACGAUGUCAUUAUGGGAUAUUUUAUGUUGAUUAAUGGACAAAAAAGUAAAUGUAAUCAGUUUUAGAUUAUUUUUUUCUUUAGUCGUUUCAUCGGUCUUGUAGUCACGUGAAGUCGUCUCUUAAACCACAGUCUUAACUCAGACACAUGCAGCAACUGUCCAUUUUUAUCGUUUGAAUAGUUUCCAACCACAGACCUGACACUUGGUACAUUUGCACGCAUGAUGCUUCAUUUAAACUGUGAAAACUGACACCAGUCUCAUCUGUGGUUCAUCUGCUUCUGACCGCUGGCUGCUUUCAGACACAAAUUUUUCCACUAUUCAAUUUGCACAAAAAUAAGAAGCUUGAAAGAUUCUGUUCGUUAUUAUUUUGUUUAAAUGAUGUUUGAAGGGCGAUUGCUGUCCAGCAUUUAUAGAGCAGUUCACACUCCUGAUAAUCAUAUAUCAAACAGAUAUAUCACACUCAUUCUCCAGAUCAGGCAUGUUAAAAUGGAUAAAAUACUUACAUUAGGUUGUAUAAUGAAAUAAAAAGAGGUCACUGUAAGGAACUACAAUAAACAUUUAGCACAAGGCUUUUCCCCUAUAAUACACUCGAGUGAGAGCACAGCACUGCAAACCAAAUGAAUAUUCUGAAUAAAAGUCCUUCAUAAAACCAGAAAUGAAAAGCUGUGUUGGUGAUUGAAAAAGUAAACACUUCAUCCUGGAUCAAACCCCGGACCCAGGAGCUGUGAGGUGACAACGCUUCCUGCUGUACCAUCAUGCUCUGAAAUAAUUCCUAUUAUAAAUAUCAAAUAAUAACUGGAAUAUAGAAUACUUGUCCCCACAGGGUACUUACACAUUCUACAUAUAAAAAUAAACUAGUGUACAUUCUUAAAACAUAUGAAUACAUUAUAAUGUAUCACAAGUAAACUGUACAUCUCUGAAUUAUACAUUAGUGUGUUUAUAGUAAAAUUAGUGGAUUUGAAGGAACAUCAUUGAGUCAGCUGACCUUCUACUGAAAUGUUAGGUGAGAUAACGAGAUCUAUUUUAGAUUAUUAUUUUGUUUUUUUUUUUCUUGUGCUUUAGGCUGCAUAAACAUCCACACCCCUACACACAGAUAAAGCCGCAUUCGAUUGGACCAACAGAUCAUUUCCUCUUUGUCUCUCGGCUGAUACACAAUGGUUCAGUUUAAAACUCUGCCUGUGUUUCUCUGUGCCAUGGGUUUUAUCUCAGAGACUCUGUCCUCUUUAUCUUUGGAGGCAGAAGCUGGAGAUAACGUCACUAUUUGGUGCCAACAUGAUCUGACUAAAACAGGUUUCAUCUUCUGGUUUAAACACACGUGUGGUUCAAUUCCACUUCGUCUUGUGUGUAAAAAGUUUAGAACAUCAUCUCCAUCAGAAAACUGUUACUUCUUUAAUGGAAGUGAGAGAAUAGUGAUGUCUGUUCAUGGCAAGAGCACGUCUCUCACAAUCACUGCAGUAACCGUCUCUGAUACAGGACUGUAUUACUGCAGCUUCAGUGAUCAAAUGAUCUUUAGCAACUCGACCUCUUUACAAGUGAAAGGUGUAAAUAAAACAUUUUCUGAGGAUAAAGCUACAGGUAAAGACUCUUCUGCUGUGUUCUUCAUACUGACUGCAGUGUUUGGUGCCGUGAUCGUGAUUCUUCUCGGUGUCCUGAUCUUCAUCAUACUGAAGCACAGAAAAACUCUUAGAGGUGCUGAAGCAGAAGAUAUUGAGGUUGCUGACUCGGACUCGGAGCAUUACACUGCACUACAGUCCUCUACCAAGAACACCAAGAGAACCAGGAGACAUGAUGAAAAGGUGUAUACACAUGUUGUAUAUUCUUCAAUCACACUGAGUAAUUUGUGUAAAUAAAUCAUUAAUUGUUUGGUUAAUAUGAAACAGAUAUUAAUAUAACAUAACAUAAUAUCAUAUCAUAUAAUAGUUUCAGGAUUCUGCACAUUUAAUGUUAUACUAUAAUCCUUGUAUCAGGUCUCAGUUUGUUAUCCAGUGUAAUAAAAUAUUCAAGUGUAAAUAGAUACGUAUUUAUUUUUUGCUUGUUUCUAUGAAAAUAGCAGAUUUAUAGAGGUUCUGACAAUAAAAACUGUUUGGGCUGUAAUUUGGUGUGCAUCAUCAGUCCUCUAAUGACGUGAGUGAGAUUGGGAAACUAUCGUGGCUUCUGUUCUGAAUCUUUUGGCCUCUGGGAGUCGCUGUUUCCCCGUUAUUUUUAUAGGUGCAUAAGAAUAUACUGGAGUGUGAUAUAAACAGGUUUAGAAUACAUUUAACGGCGUUAUGUAAUCAGGAUACAAAAACUGGUAAUUAUAAUC